UCCGUAGGUGAACCUGCGGAAGGAUCAUUAUCGAGUUUUGACCGGGUUGUAGCUGGCCUUCCGAGGCAUGUGCACGCCCUGCUCAUCCACUCUACACCUGUGCACUUACUGUGGGCUUCAGAUUGCGAGGCACGCUCUUUACCGGGCUUGCGGAGCAUAUCUGUGCCUGCGUUUAUCACAAACUCUAUAAAGUAACAGAAUGUGUAUUGCGAUGUAACACAUCUAUAUACAACUUUCAGCAACGGAUCUCUUGGCUCUCGCAUCGAUGAAGAACGCAGCGAAAUGCGAUAAGUAAUGUGAAUUGCAGAAUUCAGUGAAUCAUCGAAUCUUUGAACGCACCUUGCGCUCCUUGGUAUUCCGAGGAGCAUGCCUGUUUGAGUGUCAUGAAAUCUUCAACCUACAAGCUUUUGUGGUUUGUAGGCUUGGACUUGGAGGCUUGUCGGCCGUUAUCGGUCGGCUCCUCUUAAAUGCAUUAGCUUGGUUCCUUGCGGAUCGGCUCUCGGUGUGAUAAUGUCUACGCCGCGACCGUGAAGCGUUUGGCGAGCUUCUAACCGUCUUAUAAGACAGCUUUAUGACCUCUGACCUCAAAUCAGGUAGGACUACCCGCUGAACUUAAGCAUAUCAAUAAGCGGAGGA
This 636-nucleotide ribosomal RNA is filed under the name Ganoderma lucidum. RNAcentral's name for it is "eukaryotic LSU rRNA". The stretch from base 231 to 384 matches the Rfam family "5.8S ribosomal RNA". The record is from RNAcentral. Lineage: Eukaryota; Fungi; Basidiomycota; Agaricomycetes; Polyporales; Polyporaceae. RNAcentral also lists the same sequence under 1 other name.